This 23-nucleotide non-coding RNA is filed under the name Arabidopsis thaliana (thale cress). The record is from RNAcentral. Lineage: Eukaryota; Viridiplantae; Streptophyta; Magnoliopsida; Brassicales; Brassicaceae.
AUGAAAACAUCCUUGGCAAAUGC